RNAcentral lists this ribosomal RNA (671 nucleotides) under uncultured marine eukaryote. Its description in RNAcentral is "SSU rRNA". It matches the Rfam family "Eukaryotic small subunit ribosomal RNA", at positions 609 to 1286 of the family's 1831-position model. The record is from RNAcentral.
GUUGUUGCGGUUAAAAAGCUCGUAGUUGGAUUUCUGUUGAGAGCGACCGGUCCGUACCAUGUACGUGUAUCUGGCUUGCUCUCGGCAUCCUCUCGAUAGUCGUUGCUGCGCUUGAUUGCGUGGCGCGGAUCUCGGGACUUUUACUUUGAGGAAAUUAGAGUGUUCACGGCAGGCUUUCGCCAGAAUACAUUAGCAUGGAAUAAUACUAUAGGAUCUUGGUUCUAUUUUGUUGGUUUCUAGAAUUGAGAUAAUGAUUAAUAGGGACAAUUGGGGGCAUUCGUAUCAACACGUCAGAGGUGGAAUUCUUGGAUUGUGUUGCGACGAACUACUGCGAAAGCAUUUGCCAAGGAUGUUUUCAUUGAUCAAGAACGAAAGUAAGGGGAUCGAAGACGAUUAGAUACCGUCGUAGUCUUUACCAUAAACUAUGCCGACUAGAGAUGGGGCAUCGUUCAUUUACGACUUGCUCCGCACCUUAUGAGAUAUCAAAGUUUUUGGGUUCCGGGGGGAGUAUGGUCGCAAGGCUGAAACUUAAAGGAAUUGACGGAAGGGCACCACCACGAGUGGAGCCUGCGGCUUAAUUUGACUCAACACGGGGAAACUCACCGGGUCCAGACAUAAUAAGGAUUGACAGAUUGAUAGCUCUUUCUUGAUUUUAUGGGUGGUGGUGCAUG